CCCCAAUCCCUCCCAGCAUCAAAGUCUUCUCCAAUGAGUCAGCUCUUUGAGAUGGUAAAAAUGUUCUAAAAUUAGAUUAUGGUGGCAGUUGCACAACUCUGUGAAUAUACUAAAAAGCAUUCCUCCACCCCCCCAAAAAAAUAAGAUGAUGAUUGAAAAAAAGAUGAUGUAAUCACAGUGAAAGGAGCCCUGCUCAGCUUGGUGGGUAAGGGGCCUUAACCCGAGGACUUGUUUUCCCAGGUUUCUCCAAAGGAAAAUCAAAGGGUGGAAUUAGGGGCACGUGGGAAGGGCUGACAAUGCAACUAAAGUUAAGGAAGAGGAAGAUGAAAGGCGAUGGUGAGGUUUCACAUGGAAGUUUCCCGGCAGUCCACCUAGAGAGUCGCUCUCCCCUGCAUGGUCAGCUGCUAGACAGCCACCCUCUUUCCUUUAAAGGCAGAUGCGAUCUACUUUCCAGGGGUGAUUCAGAAAGAAAAGAAGACUUUGCAAAAACUGAAGCAAAAGAGAGGUUUUCUAAGCAAAGAAGGCCAUGCAGAAAGAAGUCAACAGAUUAAAGAAGAAAAAGACCCAUACACCUCCCAUCUUCCUUUGGCUUCAGUUCAGUUCAGUCGCUCAGUUGUGUCCGACUCUUUGCAACCCCA
RNAcentral lists this long non-coding RNA (638 nucleotides) under Capra hircus (goat). Its description in RNAcentral is "lncRNA (ENSCHIG00010030568.1)". The record is from RNAcentral. Lineage: Eukaryota; Metazoa; Chordata; Mammalia; Artiodactyla; Bovidae.